RNAcentral lists this microRNA (23 nucleotides) under Gallus gallus (chicken). Its description in RNAcentral is "gga-miR-1773-5p". The record is from miRBase by way of RNAcentral. Lineage: Eukaryota; Metazoa; Chordata; Aves; Galliformes; Phasianidae.
UGGGGGAGGAGGGACCUCUGCUU